RNAcentral lists this transfer RNA (84 nucleotides) under Cylindrospermopsis raciborskii CS-505. RNAcentral's name for it is "tRNA-Ser". It matches the Rfam family "tRNA". From Rfam's summary of the family: Transfer RNA (tRNA) molecules are approximately 80 nucleotides in length. Their secondary structure includes four short double-helical elements and three loops (D, anti-codon, and T loops). Further hydrogen bonds mediate the characteristic L-shaped molecular structure. tRNAs have two regions of fundamental functional importance: the anti-codon, which is responsible for specific mRNA codon recognition, and the 3' end, to which the tRNAs corresponding amino acid is attached (by aminoacyl-tRNA synthetases). tRNAs cope with the degeneracy of the genetic code in two manners: having more than one tRNA (with a specific anti-codon) for a particular amino acid; and 'wobble' base-pairing, i.e. permitting non-standard base-pairing at the 3rd anti-codon position. Lineage: Bacteria; Bacillati; Cyanobacteriota; Cyanophyceae; Nostocales; Aphanizomenonaceae. The record is from RNAcentral. RNAcentral also lists the same sequence under 1 other name.
GGAGAGGUGGCAGAGUGGUUGAAUGCGGCACACUCGAAAUGUGUUUUGGGGCAACUCAACGGGGGUUCGAAUCCCCCCUCUCCG